GAUGAACGCUGACAGAAUGCUUAACACAUGCCAGUCUUUGGCGAAGCUGUGCUUGCACAGCCUAGCCAAGGCGGACGGGUGAGUAACGCGUAAGGAACUUGCCCUGCAGUCAGGGAUAACAGACGGAAACGACUGAUAAGACCUGGUAAAGUCAGGCGGACUCAUGUCCAGCCUGAUGAAAAGAGAUGCUGCAGGAGAGCCUUGCGCCCUAUUAGCUUGUUGGUGGGGUAACGGCCCACCAAGGCGAUGAUAGGUAGCCGGCCUGAGAGGGUGGACGGCCACAAGGGGACUGAGAUACGGCCCUUACUCCUACGGGAGGCAGCAGUGGGGAAUAGUGGACAAGGGGGGCAACCCUGAUCCAGCAAUUCUGUGUGCACGAUGGAGGUUUUCGGAGUGUAAAGUGCUUUCAGCAGGGAAGAAAAAAAUGACGGUACCUGCAGAAGAAGCGACGGCUAAAUACGUG
RNAcentral lists this ribosomal RNA (463 nucleotides) under uncultured bacterium. RNAcentral's name for it is "partial 16S ribosomal RNA". It matches the Rfam family "Bacterial small subunit ribosomal RNA", at positions 28 to 507 of the family's 1533-position model. The record is from RNAcentral.